This 496-nucleotide ribosomal RNA is filed under the name uncultured bacterium. Its description in RNAcentral is "partial 16S ribosomal RNA". It matches the Rfam family "Bacterial small subunit ribosomal RNA", at positions 29 to 507 of the family's 1533-position model. The record is from RNAcentral.
AUGAACGCUGGCGGCGUGCCUCAUACAUGCAAGUCGAGCGAACAGAUGAGGAGCUUGCUCCUCUGGCGUUCGCGGCGGACGGGUGAGUAACACGUGGAUAACCUACCUAUAAGACUGGGAUAACUUCGGGAAACCGGAGCUAAUACCGGAUAAUAUAUUGAACCGCAUGGUUCAAUAGUGAAAGACGGUUUUGCUGUCACUUAUAGAUGGAUCCGCGCCGCAUUAGCUAGUUGGUAAGGUAACGGCUUACCAAGGCGACGAUGCGUAGCCGACCUGAGAGGGUGAUCGGCCACACUGGAACUGAGACACGGUCCAGACUCCUACGGGAGGCAGCAGUAGGGAAUCUUCCGCAAUGGGCGAAAGCCUGACGGAGCAACGCCGCGUGAGUGAUGAAGGUCUUCGGAUCGUAAAACUCUGUUAUUAGGGAAGAACAAAUGUGUAAGUAACUAUGCACGUCUUGACGGUACCUAAUCAGAAAGCCACGGCUAACUACGUG